GACGAACGCUGGCGGCGUGCCUAAUGCAUGCAAGUUGAGCGCUGAAGGUUGGUACUUGUACCAACUGGAUGAGCAGCGAACGGGUGAGUAACGCGUGGGGAAUCUGCCUUUGAGCGGGGGACAACAUUUGGAAACGAAUGCUAAUACCGCAUAAAAACUUUAAACACAAGUUUUAAGUUUGAAAGAUGCAAUUGCAUCACUCAAAGAUGAUCCCGCGUUGUAUUAGCUAGUUGGUGAGGUAAAGGCUCACCAAGGCGAUGAUACAUAGCCGACCUGAGAGGGUGAUCGGCCACAUUGGGACUGAGACACGGCCCAAACUCCUACGGGAGGCAGCAGUAGGGAAUCUUCGGCAAUAGACGAAAGUCUGACCGAGCAACGCCGCGUGAGUGAAGAAGGUUUUCGGAUCGUAAAACUCUGUUGGUAGAGAAGAACGUUGGUGAGAGUGGAAAGCUCAUCAAGUGACGGUAACUACCCAGAAAGGGACGGCUAACUACGUG
RNAcentral lists this ribosomal RNA (497 nucleotides) under uncultured bacterium. Its description in RNAcentral is "partial 16S ribosomal RNA". It matches the Rfam family "Bacterial small subunit ribosomal RNA", at positions 28 to 507 of the family's 1533-position model. The record is from RNAcentral.